UCCAGCUCCAAUAGCGUAUAUUAAAGUUGUUGCAGUUAAAAAGCUCGUAGUUGGAUUUCUGGCAGGAGUGACUGACCACAAACUCUGUUUGUGAGUUGUGUCAUUCUGGCCAUCCUUGGUAAGAUCCUUUUUGGCAUUAAGUUGUCGGGAAGGGGAUGACCAUCGUUUACUGUGAAAAAAUUAGAGUGUUUAAAGCAGGCUUAUGCCGUUGAAUAUAUUAGCAUGGAAUAAUAAGAUAGGACUUUGAGUCUAUUUUGUUGGUUUGCGAGUCAAAGUAAUGAUUAAUAGGGACAGUUGGGGGUAUUCGUAUUUCAUUGUCAGAGGUGAAAUUCUCGGAUU
This 339-nucleotide ribosomal RNA is filed under the name Skeletonema tropicum. RNAcentral describes it as "SSU rRNA". It matches the Rfam family "Eukaryotic small subunit ribosomal RNA", at positions 584 to 926 of the family's 1831-position model. The record is from RNAcentral. Lineage: Eukaryota; Bacillariophyta; Thalassiosirophyceae; Thalassiosirales; Thalassiosiraceae.